UGCAACUGCAGAAGUACACCCUGUGAGCUUUAGAUAAGCUUUCUUCACCUCCCAGCAGGAACAACAGGUUUUCCCUCUCUGAUUCUGGCUGUUGUUGUCCAAGAAUGUAAAUUUCCCAGACUCUGCUCUCUUGUCUGCAAAAGUAGAUUCUAUAGAUGGACAGUUGUGGAAGCCCACUACCCAAGGAAGCAACAUGAAGAUCUGAGGACCCUUGAGUCGCCCCAGGGUUCAAGACACACAAAAGUUUAAAGAAACAAGAUACCCUGAAUGAUAUUUCAAUUUACUAUGUUACUCUGAGUGUUUUGCUUGAAUAAAUCUGAAAUUCUGACAGUUUCAUUUCAUGGCAUUGCAAAACUGGGCUCUCGGGAGGCUAUAAAGGUUCCAAAACUCCCUAGGAGCACUUUUGACCUUGGCAAUGUGUGCUGAAAUUGGUCCACCUUCAUCUAGCCCUCAGCCAUGGAGAGAGGAGGGCUGCACCAACUAUGGGCCUCCUGCUGCUGCUUCAGCCCAGGGACCUAGCCAGUAGAACAACAAGCAGUGAUUUUCUGAUAUUAAAGCUCCACACACACCAGUCACAAG
Molecule: non-coding RNA, 579 nt
Organism: Pogona vitticeps (central bearded dragon)
Lineage: Eukaryota; Metazoa; Chordata; Lepidosauria; Squamata; Agamidae
Source: RefSeq, a predicted model, not a curated record